This 72-nucleotide transfer RNA is filed under the name Ovis aries (sheep). It matches the Rfam family "tRNA". Rfam says of the family: Transfer RNA (tRNA) molecules are approximately 80 nucleotides in length. Their secondary structure includes four short double-helical elements and three loops (D, anti-codon, and T loops). The record is from Rfam by way of RNAcentral. Lineage: Eukaryota; Metazoa; Chordata; Mammalia; Artiodactyla; Bovidae.
GCCCUGGUGGCUCAGAGGUUAAAGCGUCUGCCUCCAAUGCAGGAGACCCGGGUUUGAUCCCUGGGUGGGGAA